GGCGGGAUGAGCGUCGAGAACGUGAUCUGCUGCGAACGGUACGUGGCGUAGACGUCAAGCUUGUCGUAGUAGAUGCCGAGCUUGUCGUUAGGGUUUCGGGAGGAGAUGGUGACCUGGAAGCUGGAGGAGAAGACGUUGGGGACGGAGGUGUUGAAGUUGAAGACAGUGACGUCUUGGAGGACGAAGCGGGGCUUGGAAGGCUGGAGGAUAGCCCACACGAUGAGAAUUGUGACGAGGAGGAUGAAGUUGAAGAUUAGGAGGCCGGCACAGCAGCGGCGGAUUAUCUUCCGUCGCUUGCUGUGGCCAUGGUGGCCGCAGUCCUUCGAUGACAUAGC
This 335-nucleotide long non-coding RNA is filed under the name Malus domestica (apple). Its description in RNAcentral is "long non-coding RNA (MDOM_LNC011089)". Lineage: Eukaryota; Viridiplantae; Streptophyta; Magnoliopsida; Rosales; Rosaceae. The record is from RNAcentral.